Molecule: ribosomal RNA, 468 nt
Filed under: uncultured bacterium
Lineage: Bacteria
Description: partial 16S ribosomal RNA
Rfam family: Bacterial small subunit ribosomal RNA
Source: RNAcentral
GACGAACGCUGGCGGCGUGCUUAACACAUGCAAGUCGAACGGAAAGGCCCUGCUUUUGUUGGGUGCUCGAGUGGCGAACGGGUGAGUAACACGUGAGUAACCUGCCCUUUACUUUGGGAUAACUUCAGGAAACUGGGGCUAAUACCGGAUAGGAGCUCCUGCUGCAUGGUGGGGGUUGGAAUGUUUCGGGGGUUGGGGAUGGACUCGCGGCUUAUCAGCUUGUUGGUGGGGUAGUGGCUUACCAAGGCUUUGACGGGUAGCCGGCCUGAGAGGGUGACCGGCCACAAUGGGACUGAGAUACGGCCCAGACUCCUACGGGAGGCAGAAGUGGGGAAUAUUGCACAAUGGGAGGAAGCCUGAUGAAGGAACGCCGCGUGCGGGAUGACGGCCUUCGGGUUGUAAACCGCUUUAGACUGUGACGAAGCGUGAGUGACGGUAAUGGGUAAAGAAGCACCGGCUAACUACGUG